CGGAACGGGUGAGUAAUGCGUGACCAACCUGCCCCAUGCUCCAGAAUAGCUCUUGGAAACGGGUGGUAAUGCUGGAUGCUCCAACUUGACGCAUGUCUUGUUGGGAAAGUGUUUAGUGGCAUGGGAUGGGGUCGCGUCCUAUCAGCUUGUAGGCGGGGUAAUGGCCCACCUAGGCUUCGACGGGUAGCCGGCCUGAGAGGGCGGACGGCCACAUUGGGACUGAGAUACGGCCCAGACUCCUACGGGAGGCAGCAUU
Molecule: ribosomal RNA, 256 nt
Filed under: uncultured Gardnerella sp.
Lineage: Bacteria; Bacillati; Actinomycetota; Actinomycetes; Bifidobacteriales; Bifidobacteriaceae
Description: partial 16S ribosomal RNA
Rfam family: Bacterial small subunit ribosomal RNA
Source: RNAcentral